GUGAAGCGGCAAAAGCUCAAAUUUGAAAUCUGGCACCUUCGGUGUCCGAGUUGUAAUUUGAAGAAGGUAACUUUGGAGUUGGCUCUUGUCUAUGUUCCUUGGAACAGGACGUCACAGAGGGUGAGAAUCCCGUGCGAUGAGAUGCCCAAUUCUAUGUAAAGUGCUUUCGAAGAGUCGAGUUGUUUGGGAAUGCAGCUCUAAGUGGGUGGUAAAUUCCAUCUAAAGCUAAAUAUUGGCGAGAGACCGAUAGCGAACAAGUACAGUGAUGGAAAGAUGAAAAGAACUUUGAAAAGAGAGUGAAAAAGUACGUGAAAUUGUUGAAAGGGAAGGGCUUGAGAUCAGACUUGGUAUUUUGCGAUCCUUUCCUUCUUGGUUGGGUUCCUC
Molecule: ribosomal RNA, 384 nt
Filed under: Debaryomyces hansenii
Lineage: Eukaryota; Fungi; Ascomycota; Pichiomycetes; Serinales; Debaryomycetaceae
Description: LSU rRNA
Rfam family: Eukaryotic large subunit ribosomal RNA
Source: RNAcentral